Homo sapiens (human) is the source of this 514-nucleotide long non-coding RNA. The record is from Ensembl. NCBI's taxonomy places the organism in Eukaryota, Metazoa, Chordata, Mammalia, Primates, Hominidae.
CGGCCAGGCCUGCUUGCGCAACCCUUUUACGAGCAUUCCACGGCCCUGACCUGUUCCCGCAGUGCGCGGGUAUCCCUAAUCAGACACACGGCUCCAGACACUCGGCGCUCAGCCACGCCACAGCAAACAGCUCCGACUGCUGCCCGCUCUCCCCAGCCUGGACCUGGGCCUGCCUGGACACUGCCUCGCUGGACGCGUUGGAAAUCAGGGCACGUCGCGUCCGCAGGCCCCAUGCCAGACGGGCCUCUCAGUCCUGUUGAUGCGGCCGGGGAGCUCCCGCCAGCCUCCCUGUGCUCUGGGUACCACGGCCCAGAGGUGUGCCCUGCCCCUCCUUCACCCUCAUAGGGAGCCAGGAUGGGAUUGGACGGCCCUCCCCACGGCCCAGAGUGGCCAAGGGGCCUUCCCGUCACCAGGCUGCACUGGCUGGAGCCCGAGGCCCCACGUGCACUGCAGCAGGAGGCUCCCAGGUUGUCCAGGUCCACAUGGCUCUCAGACAUGCUCGUCUCUCUCCACC